AUGAACGCUGGCGGCAUGCCUUACACAUGCAAGUCGAACGGCAGCAUGACCUAGCUUGCUAGGUUGAUGGCGAGUGGCGAACGGGUGAGUAAUGCAUCGGAACGUGCCUUUUAGUGGGGGAUAACGUAGCGAAAGUUACGCUAAUACCGCAUAUUCUCUGAGGAGGAAAGCAGGGGACCUUCGGGCCUUGCGCUAGAAGAGCGGCCGAUGUCGGAUUAGCUAGUUGGUGAAGUAAAGGCUCACCAAGGCAACGAUCCGUAGCGGGUCUGAGAGGAUGAUCCGCCACACUGGGACUGAGACACGGCCCAGACUCCUACGGGAGGCAGCAGUGGGGAAUUUUGGACAAUGGGCGCAAGCCUGAUCCAGCCAUGCCGCGUGAGUGAAGAAGGCCUUCGGGUUGUAAAGCUCUUUCGGCUGGGAAGAAAUCGCACCCUCUAAUACAGGGUGUGGAUGACGGUACCAGCAUAAGAAGCACCGGCUAACUACGUG
RNAcentral lists this ribosomal RNA (489 nucleotides) under uncultured bacterium. RNAcentral's name for it is "partial 16S ribosomal RNA". It matches the Rfam family "Bacterial small subunit ribosomal RNA", at positions 29 to 507 of the family's 1533-position model. The record is from RNAcentral.